This is a non-coding RNA of Heterocephalus glaber (naked mole-rat), 1094 nucleotides long. The record is from RefSeq and is a predicted model, not a curated record. Lineage: Eukaryota; Metazoa; Chordata; Mammalia; Rodentia; Bathyergidae.
CUCGAUGCUGCAAAACACCAGGGUCCUGCAUUCAGGGCACCUUAGCUCCUUGUGGGCCUUGAAAAUCUUCUGAAGACAUGGUUUGCAGAAAGUGUGCUGGCAAGGGAGGACUCUGGCUGUGACAUCAAGCUUUUCGAAGCAUACAGGGCACUCCAGAAGAUCAACCUCAGAGACAAUCUUCCUCCUACGAGGUAAAGUCGUGCAGCCUGUUUAGUUGCUUUGACAGUUGCUCUCAGUUUCAACUGAAGCUGAUAGGAAUUCUGGGUUGUGGUCACAAUCUGUAAAAACCAAGCUGAAGCAACACGUAAGAAAAGUCUUCUGGGAAGAAGUCAGCUGGCCCUCACGAAAGCCAAGGCUUGGGUGACCGAUGCAGCCAGGCACUCCUGCAGGCAGGAGAGCCAGUCUCUACUUACUCCACAGUAAGCAGAGAAGACACGACACACGAGGAGGAGAUGGCGCCUCGCCUUCCUAAGAGUCCUCUCCAGAGACGUCAGCGCCAGCAAGCUGGGGAGAUGAGUGUUCUAUGCCCAGAGAGAUCAAGAGAUUCUUUGAAGUUGCCUGGUAAUUUCCACGAUUCUGUGACCAUAAGGAAGUCACUGGUGGUCUGAGACUCUUUACUGUCUCCUUACUCUGCUUUUCUCUUAAAGGUUCCCCAGGUUUUGGAAAUGCUGGUGUAUCAUAAAGGAACUCUGAUGACUGUAAAGAAACAAGAGGACAGAAGCCUACCCAUUUUCCGUAUUCACAGUGGCUUACCAUCUUUGUAUCUAGUGAGAGUCUUACUUUCAUUUCUUCUUCUUGAUUUUCAAUAAAAGAGAGUAGCCUAUGGAGUAUCUUUACUUUCUUUCCUCCACAGAAGAUUAGAAGGCAGUUUUAAAGGCAGCUUUGUGAGCGAAGAAAGUAGGAAAGUGGUUAAGGAUGCAUUUUACCACUCUGUUAACACUGGAAAAUAAUUCAUCUAGUAAAAAUCUGAGUAAAAUCUGUAGUGUAGUUGAUUGUAUUAUGUUCAUGUCAGUUUCCUCUUUUAUUUGUUUAUUUUUAUUAACAUAUUUUAGUUAUUUGAGAUGUUAUUAUUGGGAAAAGGUGGUUGAAGAGGA